RNAcentral lists this ribosomal RNA (253 nucleotides) under uncultured bacterium. RNAcentral's name for it is "partial 16S ribosomal RNA". It matches the Rfam family "Bacterial small subunit ribosomal RNA", at positions 524 to 776 of the family's 1533-position model. The record is from RNAcentral.
UACGGAAGGGGCAAGCGUUGUUCGGAAUCAUUGGGCGUAAAGGGCGCGUAGGUGGUUCUGUAUGUCUACCGUGAAAGCAUACAGCUCAACUGUAUUUUGUCGGUAGAAACUGCAGGACUUGAGGCUGGGAGGGGCUGGUGGAAUUCCCUGUGUGGCGGUGAAAUGCGUAGAGAUGGGGGAGAACACUCGUGGCGAAGGCGGCCAGCUAGACCAGUUCUGACACUGAGGCGCGACAGCGUGGGGAGCAAACAGG